This is a small nuclear RNA of Arvicola amphibius (Eurasian water vole), 105 nucleotides long. The record is from RefSeq and is a predicted model, not a curated record. Lineage: Eukaryota; Metazoa; Chordata; Mammalia; Rodentia; Cricetidae.
GUCACUUCGGCAGCACAUAUACUAAAAUUGGAACGAUACAGAGAAGAUUAGCAUGGCCCCUGCGCAUGGAUAUCUUUAGAAUCCAUAUAAAAGUACCAUGAUCAG